Molecule: ribosomal RNA, 446 nt
Filed under: uncultured bacterium
Lineage: Bacteria
Description: partial 16S ribosomal RNA
Rfam family: Bacterial small subunit ribosomal RNA
Source: RNAcentral
GUAAGGAAUAUUGGUCAAUGGGGGCAACCCUGAACCAGCCAUGCCGCGUGAAGGAUGAAGGCGUUAUGCGUUGUAAACUUCUUUUGUAUGGGAAGAAUGACAGGGAUUCAUCCUUGGAGAGACGGUACCAUACGAAUAAGCACCGGCUAACUCCGUGCCAGCAGCCGCGGGAAUACGGAGGGUGCAAGCGUUAUCCGGAAUCACUGGGUUUAAAGGGUACGUAGGCGGUUAAUUAAGUCAGUAGUGAAAGACUGUCGCUCAACGACGGAUGUGCUAUUGAUACUGGUUAACUUGAAUCAGGUUAGAGUUGGCGGAAUGGGUCAUGUAGCGGUGAAAUGCUUAGAUAUGACUUGGAACACCGAUAGCGAAGGCAGGUGGCUGUACCUUAAUCGACGCUGAUGCACGAAAGCAUGGGGAGCAAACAGGAUUAGAAACCCUUGUAGUCC